AUUGAACGCUGGCGGCAGGCCUAACACAUGCAAGUCGAGCGGUAACAGGAAGCAGCUUGCUGCUUCGCUGACGAGUGGCGGACGGGUGAGUAAUGUCUGGGAAACUGCCUGAUGGAGGGGGAUAACUACUGGAAACGGUAGCUAAUACCGCAUAACGUCGCAAGACCAAAGAGGGGGACCUUAGGGCCUCUUGCCAUCGGCUGUGCCCAGAUGGGAUUAGCUAGUAGGUGGGGUAACGGCUCACCUAGGCGACGAUCCCUAGCUGGUCUGAGAGGAUGACCAGCCACACUGGAACUGAGACACGGUCCAGACUCCUACGGGAGGCAGCAGUGGGGAAUAUUGCACAAUGGGCGCAAGCCUGAUGCAGCCAUGCCGCGUGUAUGAAGAAGGCCUUCGGGUUGUAAAGUACUUUCAGCGGGGAGGAAGGGAGUAAAGUUAAUACCUUUGCUCAUUGACGUUACCCGCAGAAGAAGCACCGGCUAACUCCGUG
RNAcentral lists this ribosomal RNA (490 nucleotides) under uncultured bacterium. RNAcentral describes it as "partial 16S ribosomal RNA". It matches the Rfam family "Bacterial small subunit ribosomal RNA", at positions 30 to 507 of the family's 1533-position model. The record is from RNAcentral.